ACUCCUACGGGAGGCAGCAGUGGGGAAUAUUGCACAAUGGGCGCAAGCCUGAUGCAGCCAUGCCGCGUGUGUGAAGAAGGCCUUCGGGUUGUAAAGCACUUUCAGUCGUGAGGAAGGUGAGUAGUAGUUAAUAGCUUGCUAUUAUUUUGACGUUAGCGAACAGAAGAAGCACCGGCUAACUCCGUGCCAGCAGCCGCGGUAAUACGGAGGGUGCGAGCGUUAAUCGGAAUUACUGGGCGUAAAGCGCAUGCAGGUGGUUUGUUAAGUCAGAUGUGAAAGCCCGGGGCUCAACCUCGGAAUUGCAUUUGAAAACUGGCAAGGCUAGAGUCUUGUAGAGGGGGGGUAGAAUUUCAGGUG
Molecule: ribosomal RNA, 357 nt
Filed under: uncultured bacterium
Lineage: Bacteria
Description: bacterial SSU rRNA
Rfam family: Bacterial small subunit ribosomal RNA
Source: RNAcentral